RNAcentral lists this transfer RNA (62 nucleotides) under Harmonia quadripunctata (cream-streaked ladybird beetle). RNAcentral describes it as "tRNA-Val". Lineage: Eukaryota; Metazoa; Arthropoda; Insecta; Coleoptera; Coccinellidae. The record is from RNAcentral.
CAGUUUAGAGCUUGAAUAAGCAUCUUAUUUACAUUAAGAAGAUAAUUAAAAAUUUAAAUUGA